RNAcentral lists this small nuclear RNA (139 nucleotides) under Sorghum bicolor (sorghum). RNAcentral's name for it is "U1 spliceosomal RNA". It matches the Rfam family "U1 spliceosomal RNA". From Rfam's summary of the family: U1 is a small nuclear RNA (snRNA) component of the spliceosome (involved in pre-mRNA splicing). Its 5' end forms complementary base pairs with the 5' splice junction, thus defining the 5' donor site of an intron. The record is from Rfam by way of RNAcentral. Lineage: Eukaryota; Viridiplantae; Streptophyta; Magnoliopsida; Poales; Poaceae.
AUACUUACAUGGACGGAGUCUAUGGUUGAUUAAGAAGAGUCAUGGCCUAAGUUAGCUGCAUCCAUUGCACUUGGCAAGUGGCAGAGUGGACGAACGUCAUAAUUUAUGAUAGAGGGGGCACAUGUUCGUGCGGCCUCUA